This 771-nucleotide long non-coding RNA is filed under the name Gossypium barbadense (sea-island cotton). RNAcentral's name for it is "long non-coding RNA (GBAR_LNC011931)". Lineage: Eukaryota; Viridiplantae; Streptophyta; Magnoliopsida; Malvales; Malvaceae. The record is from RNAcentral.
UCCAUUUACAAAUAUGCCCCAAAUACCUUAUACAAACCCAAAUCAAUACCCCACAGCCCAACAGUUAAACCUAAACCAAAUCAUUACAUGGCCCAAACCAAUCACAUAACCUAGACCUAAAAUUAAAACCAAGUCACAAGCCCAAUAACUUAGCCCAAUACCCUAAACGGCUCAGAAAUUGAGCCCAAUGUCAGCAAACCCUAGCAGCCUUGGCUUGCGCCGCAGCAGCCCCAGCAGCCUCCAGGCGCCGUACACUCCUCCUAUGCCAGCACACGCCCUCGUACACACGCCACGCACCUGUACCUGCAAAGAAAUGGACAAGACAACAACAACAAUGGCCAAUACGAAAAAAGCACAAAAUUGUAUUUCUUUUUAUUUCUUUUUUGGACAUUCGGCUAUAAAACCGAUGAUUUUACAUUGUAAGGGGGUUCCUUUUCGAAGACAUACAGAAAACAUAUGCAAUAGAAAAGAAAAAAGGCAAUAGACGAAGAGAAGGUGGUUUUCCCUUCUUCUUUUAAUCCUCUGUUCUUUUACCUGUUUCAGUUGAAUUGCAUGUCAUUUACAUCAAAAAAAAAAAAGAAAAAGGUAACGCCUUACCGUGAAAGCACGCCGCGGGAUCCCUUUCUCUUCGCCAGAAUCGAACUGUAGAGGGGGUCUUAAGGCAGACAAAGAGACUCCAAGGCCCGAACGGUUUAGUCUCCGUUCAUGGUGGUAGAUCGGAGCUUGGAGGGACAUUUGGGGGCUGAUUGAUCAACAAACGAGGAAAAGGGC